UCCCAGACUCCUACGGGAGGCAGCAGUGGGGAAUAUUGCACAAUGGGGGAAACCCUGAUGCAGCGACGCCGCGUGAGUGAAGAAGUAUCUCGGUACGUAAAGCUCUAUCAGCAGGGAAGAAAAUGACGGUACCUGACUAAGAAGCCCCGGCUAACUACGUGCCAGCAGCCGCGGUAAUACGUAGGGGGCAAGCGUUAUCCGGAUUUACUGGGUGUAAAGGGAGCGUAGACGGUUAUGUAAGUCUGGAGUGAAAGCCCGGGGCCCAACCCCGGGACUGCUUUGGAAACUGUGUAACUGGAGUACAGGAGGGGCAGGCGGAAUUCCUGGUGUAGCGGUGAAAUGCGUAGAUAUCAGGAGGAACACCGGCGGCGAAGGCGGCCUGCUGGACUGAAACUGACGUUGAGGCUCGAAAGCGUGGGGAGCAAACAGGAUUAGAUACCCUCGUAGG
RNAcentral lists this ribosomal RNA (448 nucleotides) under uncultured bacterium. Its description in RNAcentral is "bacterial SSU rRNA". It matches the Rfam family "Bacterial small subunit ribosomal RNA", at positions 329 to 794 of the family's 1533-position model. The record is from RNAcentral.